CCNCUGCUAUCACUACUCUCGUUGCUUUGGCGGGCCGCUGGGCCCUGCCCGGCCGCCGGCCCCGGCUGGCGCGUGCCCGCCAGAGACCUCACAGACUCUGAAUGUUAGUGUCGUCCGAGUAACUAUACAAUCGUUAAAACUUUCAACAACGGAUCUCUUGGUUCUGGCAUCGAUGAAGAACGCAGCGAAAUGCGAUAAGUAAUGCGAAUUGCAGAAUUCAGUGAGUCAUCGAAUCUUUGAACGCACAUUGCGCCCUGUGGUAUUCCGCAGGGCAUGCCUGUUCGAGCGUCAUUUCAACCCUCAAGCCUCGCUUGGUGUUGGGCCCUGCCCGCCGCGGCCGGCCCUAAAGAUAGUGGCGGCGCCGCCUGGCCCUCAGCGUAGUACAGCUCUCGCUCCAGGGUCCGGCGGCAGCCUGCCAGAACCCCCCAACUCUGUGGUUGACCUCGGAUCAGGUAGGGAUACCCGCUGAACUUAAGCAUAUCAAUAAGCGGAGGA
This 495-nucleotide ribosomal RNA is filed under the name Oidiodendron sp. PDKA8. RNAcentral describes it as "eukaryotic LSU rRNA". The stretch from base 138 to 291 matches the Rfam family "5.8S ribosomal RNA". The record is from RNAcentral. Lineage: Eukaryota; Fungi; Ascomycota; Leotiomycetes; Myxotrichaceae.